RNAcentral lists this ribosomal RNA (443 nucleotides) under uncultured bacterium. RNAcentral's name for it is "partial 16S ribosomal RNA". It matches the Rfam family "Bacterial small subunit ribosomal RNA", at positions 338 to 795 of the family's 1533-position model. The record is from RNAcentral.
CCUACGGGUGGCAGCAGUGGGGAAUAUUGGGCAAUGGAGGCAACUCUGACCCAGCCAUGCCGCGUGAAUGAUGAAGGUCUUCGGGUUGUACAGUUCUGUGAUCGGGGAUGAACACAAUGACGGUACCCCAAUAGCAAGCCACGGCUACCUACGUGCCAGCCGCCGCGGUAAUACGUAGGUGGAAAGCGUUAUCCGGAAUGACUGGACGCAAAGGGUGCGAAGGCGGUUUAGUAAGUUGGCGGUGUAAUUCCGGGGCUCAACCUCGGCGCUACCGCCAAAACUAUUAGACUUGAGUGCAGGAGGGGUGAGUAGAAUUCCUAGUGUAGCGGUGGAAUGCGUAGAUAUUAGGAGGAACAUCAGGGGCGAAGGCGACUUACUGGACGAUAACUGACGCUGAGGCGCGAAAGCGUGGGGAGCAAACAGGAUUAGAUACCCGGGUAGUC